This is a long non-coding RNA of Myotis lucifugus (little brown bat), 3524 nucleotides long. RefSeq lists it as uncharacterized. The record is from RefSeq and is a predicted model, not a curated record. Lineage: Eukaryota; Metazoa; Chordata; Mammalia; Chiroptera; Vespertilionidae. The transcript has 2 exons.
CCACAACCGGGCAUGUGCCCUGACUGGCAAUCAAACUGCGACCUCCUGAUUUAUGGGUUGAUGUUCAACCACUGAGCCACACCAGCUGGGAAAAACUUGUUGUUUUAAGAUGCUAAGUUUUGGGGUAAUUUGUUACUCAGCAAUGGUUAACUACUUACUGUAGUGCUGCAUUAUCACAUUAAAUCCUCAGAACAAAUGUGAAAGGUGGAAUUUUUUCCCUACUUUUCAGAUGAGAAAGCCAAAGCUGAGAUGAGUGUAGUGACUUCCCACACCUGGGAAGUGGCUGAGCUUGGAUUUUCCCAUGUCUAUUGGGUUCCAGAUCCCAGGGAACCUGGUUCUGUUUUCUCAGCUGGAAUGGCUCCAGCUCCAGGGCGAAGUUUGAGGAACCGAGGACAGGAGGACGUGGUCUCUUUGUCUGAGGUGUUUCUCUCCCUCUUUUCAUUUCAAUCACGUUGGUUUGCAGCUAUGGCAUCUUUGUGUAUAUGUGAGUCAGUGACAAGUAGGUUUAUUCGAAAAAACAUCAGAGUUUUAGGAGGGGGAUAUUUGGGCUCUUGAGUGACCUUGGAUAAGUUCUUACGCUCUUGUAGGUCUCAGUUUCUUUAUCUCCCGUAUGGAGAUAAUAACUCUGUUCCACAUUCCUCACCAGGGAACCAUGAGCAUCCAGUACAAAGGGACUUUGUAAAAUGUCAAGUAUUGUGAUCCCAGAAAGGUUUGCUUUGAGUAAGGAGCACCCUCACCCAAGGCACUCACAGUCCCCAUGGAGGUAGCCCCACACAAUCUGCAAGGGUGGCCAGUGCUCCCUCUUCUCUCCCACCUGAGUCUCAGGAGACAGAGUACUGAGAGAACUUGAGAGCCCCAACCCACUCCUUCAACCUCCUCCCUCACUAUCACCUCCCUCUUAAGCAACCUUGCAGCCACUGAAGUAGUGGAAAUUUCCCAAGCCUGACAGGAGCCUUUCUGUAUGCUGAGCCUCUGUCUGUGCAGUUUCUUCUCCCUGGACACCAUGCCCAACUUCUCCACCUGGUGCGUCACUACUCAUCUUUCAUGACUCAGAUGUCCCCACUUUCAGGAUACCUCUUGACCUGGUUCAAAGCCUACUUCUCCUCUGCAUUAGUGCACCAGCCUCCUGCCUGAGCACUUGGACUCCAGCUUCUCUUUUCUACUCAAAGCCCCCUGUGGCACAGCCAGCGGUCUUUCUAAAACACACAUCUUGUCACGUCACUCCCUGCUUAAAAUAACCGCCCAACGGAAUAAUCCAUCAAUCAAUGUUUCAAGAGCUCCUCCUUGCUCUCAGGAAAACAUCCAAAGCCUCCAGCUGGAACUCAAGGCUUGCUCCCCACUGGUGUCUCCAGCCUCAGCUCUCCUCUCUCCUGGUCGCCCUGCACAGGUGGUACAUCCUAGCCACAUUGAUCUCGUUUCAUAACUCAGACACACCUCACUCUCUCGUGUCUUCCGAUCUGCUGGUCCCAUUGUUUUCCAUGCCCAUUCCCAUCUUAGCCACCUAGUCACUUCCUGCCUAACGUUGAAGGCCAGCUCUGAUUUAACCUCUCCUGGGAAGCCUGCCUGGGUGGUCCCAGGAAGAGUCCAUGGCUUCUUCUUCCCUCUCCUAUAUGACUUCUCAAGCUUUUGUUACUGUUUGUCAGCUUGCCUGCUUACACUGGAAGUUUCUUGUAUCUGACACAGGGUUGUGUCCCCAGCAGGGUCAGCACAGGUGCUUGGAGCAGCCAUGUAGGAUUUGUUGGUUGGUUGAAUGAAUGAAUGAAUGAAUGGUGAAUGGAUCCAUCCUUGAACCCUCACUUCUUGGCCAGCCUCAGAACUGUUAUUUUCCAGGGCAAGCCCAUUUUAUAGCAAAAGAGGAAGCAGAAAGGACUGCUCUGGAAUGGAGAAAGCAAAUCAAAAAAAUGUAAAUCUGGUUGAGAAAAGCUGUCCCAGGUUGGCUGUGGGGAGAGAUAAGACUGGGAUGGUGAGCCCUGGUUGACAGUAAAAGAAAUUAGGGGACAAGCAGAGCUUCAGCCAGGCCAGGGCAAAGGGAGUGUCUCCCUUCAGUGGUACCGCCUCCCUCUGUCUUUGCCACUUUCCCUGCCCCCAUGCUCUCUGCACUCCAUCAAUUCUCUCAGGGAUCCUGGACGGAGAAGGAAACUUAGAAAUGUUGAUCAGCAAAUGCACUCAUUAUUUGGUCUUCACAACUUUUGGGAAACAGGAGAUAGGAAUGCUCAACCUCACUUUCCAGGUGAAGAAACAGAGGUGUAGAGAAGUUAAAUUGCUUGUUCAGGGUCACACCAUGAAUAAGUGGCAGAGUCAAGAUUUGAGUUUAAAUCUGACUCUAAAACGCUAUUCUUUUCCCUCCAUUGCACUGAGGUCUUGAUCCAGGCUUCAAAGGGUCCCCAGCCUCUGAAAUCAGAUGCACAAUUGUGUUUAUGUGCAUUUUUUUAAUGGAGAGUUUAUAUCUUGUAUCGUCCAAGAUGAUUGUCACUCAUUCCCUUGCCUAUACCAUCUUCCCUCCCUGGAGGAGGCCUUUGAGCUGAGUACAGAAGAAUGGGAUAGAGUAGAGUGGGAUGAAGAAGGCCAGCUGGGUAGAGAAGAACACAUGUAGGGGUAGAUUCGGAAGAAAGAAUUCAAUAGGUCUAAAGAAUGCUGAGGGUGCUAUGGGUUCUUACUCCUCAUUUAUGUGUGCUCCAAUCAUGGCUCCUGGCUCCCAACUUCUAAAGAGCAUCUGACCACCUUGCAGCUUCCCAGCAUCGGUCCGCAGGCCAAAGGAACUCCAGGCCAGGCAUCAGGAUAUCCGCUCUGCUUCAGUCCUGUCCUCUGUUGGACUUUAUCACCUGUAGAAUCUUGCAAGAUUUCACACCUUCUCCUGAGCACACAGGUCAAUUGCUGGUGGUUCCUCAUGGACCAGCGGCUAAUAUUAGGGAAGAGGGCUGCACCCUGGGCCCCUCCAUCUCUGGGAACCCCUUCAGCCUUUACCUGCUCCACUCCUGGCUCUCAGCCCACGUCUCUCUUGCGAUGACUCCUGAAGUCUCCUGGCCCUGACCAGCCUGAGAGGUUUUAAGCACAAGGACCUCAUCUUCUUCAAAUCUCUGCUGAAUGUAGAUUCGGCAUCAAGACCCAGCUUGAUGGGGCCCCUGCAUGUGUUCACAUUGUCAUGUUCUUGGGAAGUUUGCAAAGUCAUCGCUGCAUUUAGGUAAAUCAUUGCCAGCCACCUCUCUGUACAGAAUGGCUUCUAGGAAUCUUCCUACACACUGUCCAACUCAGAAUUGUGACAUCAAGAUGUCAUAUCCAGAGGGCAUCUCAUGACAGGAAUGUAUUCCAGGCCACCUGGCCCUGGAAGCAUAUGGGCAAUGGAGGAGAAACAGGUUGGAAAUGUACAGAAACAGAAGCUAAUCUGUGGGAAAUCCUUCCACUUGUCAGGGGAGGAAAUGUAUUUCAGAGGUGUGCACGGCAGUUAGUAAAAAAUACUGUGCUGUUUUUCUGAAUUGUGUGACAUAGUUGUUUUGACUUCUUUUCUAAGUAGAUACUCAUUUUCU